Molecule: non-coding RNA, 7378 nt
Organism: Dermacentor albipictus
Lineage: Eukaryota; Metazoa; Arthropoda; Arachnida; Ixodida; Ixodidae
Source: RefSeq, a predicted model, not a curated record
AAAGAGACUGUUCGUUCGAGCGCGUUGCGGCACAAGCUCAAUUAAAGGUGAUCGAUGUCUUGAAUCGCUAAGGUAUGGGAGAUGGUGGUGAUUGAGCGACUAACUAGAAAUGCUACCCAGGAGAGUAGGGGGGAUGUGGGCAGAAUAGGAGUAUAGCCAGGGAGGGUAAGUGGGUUAGAGGGUUCCUGCAGGGCAAGGAUGUCGGGCCCCGUUGCGCAGAACAGCCGUUGGUGGACCAUGACGCUUCUGGCGAAAGCCCCGGCAGUUCCACUGCCAGAGUGUAAGAUUACAGUUUGGAGCUGCCAUCAUGAGAGUGGACAGGAGGGGAAGGAAUAACGGGGGAGUGGGAGUCGUGAGCUAUGGCAGGCAUAGGGUUGUCCUUUCCUUCUGUUGCUUUAGCCUUCUUACGUCUAUUUGGGGUGGAGUCCCGCUUCAGGAGGGCGGUUGAGUAAGAAUUGAGCCGGCACUCAAGAUCGCUACGACGGUCAGAGAAUCCUUGGGUUAGCACAUCUAAUCGUUGGUUAAAAGCAGUAUUGUCUUGUGUUAUGUGGAUUAUCACGUUUCUGAGGGUUGCACAUUCCUGGUUGAUGUGAGUAAUAGUGUCCUGCAAUUUUGCCUCAAAGCAAGCAGCGAAGGACUGAAGCAGGGUUGGAAUGCCGUCUUGUGAGGUAGUGGUGAAGGGAGUGGGUGGUGUGCAUGGGGUUGAAUUUGCAGAGGGUUCCAUGUCAGCCUCCAUUGCUAGCAAAUCAGGAGAUGAAGUAGGGUUGGAGGUGGGAGGCUGGGAUGUGGCAGGAGCGGUUGCCAGUGGAAUGGGAGAUCCAGACGCAAGAGCACUUAUCUGGGUUUCCAGUUUGGCUAUAUGUUGAAGGGCGGCGUCUUCCUUCCAUGCCGCUGUAGCUUCUGCUUUGGCCGCCGCUGCCUCCUCCUGGGAUUUUGCAAGGGCGUGUUGUAGAUUGGGAGUUGCUGUCAUGGAUGGCAUGUGCUGGUAAGAAGAGAGGGGAGUGUCUCAGGCUUGCUUCCACGGCGCUGCCCAGGCUUGCUUGUGUUGGUUGGGCGACAACAGGGGAAAAUUGUCCCCGGAUGUGACCAAUUCUUGAUGCUGCGUUUGUGGGUUGCUCGGUUGUUUCGUUGUUUCCAUGUCUGGUGACGGUUUCGUCCCUUGCACGAUCCCGUGCCAGUAAGGUGAGGGCCCUCGCACAGAAUGCACUUAGGUGUGCAAGGAGGUUCUUGUUGAGGAUGUUGUGCUCCACAGUGGGGACAAAGAUUGGUCUUGGGGCUUGGGCAAGCGUCAUGACGGUGACCUGGUUGUCCGCAAUUUGUACAGGCAUCCGGACUGCCGCGGUAUCGGGUGCAGCGGUGGAUGGCGCCCAUCUAUUUAAUGGAGUUCGGGACUGCGCUUGCGUCGAAGGUGAUUAGGAUGGAGUGCGUCUUUCCCAUGCGUCUGGCUGCUAAUAUGGUGUGCUCUGGAUUUCUUCUGACCAGGUCUUGGUAGAGUUGCGUUGGGAUCUCGUCGUCAUAGGCGUUUGUGAGGACUCUUCUGGUAGCCCCCGGUGGAGGUGCCAUGCAAGCUGCGCGCGGGUAGGUUCGGUCGAUCUCCAAUGGUGGGGGAGGUCGGCGUCUUCAGAGUCUCGGCUGUUGGGAAAUUUGUUGUUGCCAUGGUGAAAGUAUUGUUGGUCGGGUGGAUGCGUAAGCAGAAGUCGUCCGGUAGAGUGAUUUGCUGGAGCUGGGUCUGCACUGCCUUCCUGAGUCGAGGUGUUGGGAUGUCUAGAGUCGCACUUCACCUCGCGGGUGAACGACCAUUCUAAUAGCGUUGGGCGGGAGCGGCGGCAGUUGCUUCCUGCGUUACACUGUGAGGCGAACCUCCUUGGUCGCAGGUGGUAGGCGGGCGGGCGUCUUGCCGCUGCUGGUUGCGGCUGCUGCGUCGCGCGCCGCGUUCCUGGCGUUCGGGUUGGCUGCCUCGGAGUUAGCGUUGUCGGAGCGUUGAGGUGGUUUCGGCCAUCCAGUAGGUCGUGGUUUCGGCGAACUGGCUGGUCGAGGGGUAUAGGCUAUAUAUAGAACACUGGAGCUCUUGUUCGGUUACGGUGUUGCCUUCAACCGUUACUUCCCUGUUAACGGCUGGCGUCGCCGGCGGAGUGACGGAGUCCGAGUGAGGCUUAGCUAGGCGGCUGAGCGUCUCUCCGGAGCGGGAGCCGCCGGGGUCUCGAGGCCAGCCGUGCCGCUCGCGGUGCCUCGGGGGUCCCUGGCUGGGAGCGGCGGUUCGGGCCGAAGUAUGUGCCGUGGAGCAGUGGUUAGGCACGUCUGACCUCGACGAGCGCGCGUGGUGUUCCAGGUGGCACCGGAGUUGGGCCGAAGCUGAAGCUUCCUCUUAAAUUGGCGCGCCAGCAUACAGACGGCAGUCCGUCCAGGCAGCCUACCAAACACAGCAGGAUCUGCAGCAGUCACUUUGUAAAUGGCGAGAAGUCGGACGAUCAGAGAAGCCCUGUCUAUCUACCAACCUUGCUUCCAUUUGUGUACAGGUCCACUAAUGUUGCUACUGCACACAGGUAUGAAAGGCUCCGGUCACGUGAGCAGCACAAACAACCCACAUGGCGCUGUGUGUUGCCAGUUCCUGACGACCAAGAAUGCGGUGCUGCGACUACAGAGCACACAAGUGUAGGAACGCAGACAGACCCUUGCACAUGGUUCUCGGAGGUGGACAUAUGCCAAGCCUGUUCUCUUGUUGUUUAAAGGAAUGUGAAGCUGAGACGCAGGUUGUUGUGCCCUGCAAGAAAUAAAGCAAGGGUGCAUCAUGGGGAACAUCCUACGAGUCAAGGAUGCCGCAUGUGACGCUGUGAACAUCGAACACACUAUCUCGACCCCAGGCUUCCACAGUUGCGCCAGUGUGUCAUCCUGCCCCAGUGAAAAAGCUUCUGGCAUUCUGAAGGGUAUUACUGGGGUUUCACAGAGUGUUUUUACAAAGUCUAGCUCAGGCGCUCAAUGUUAAGGGGAAAGAGGAAACCACAAAUGCUUCAAAGAAAUUGCUCAUCUUUUUGAUCAAACUAAAACUAAACUUGUCGUACUCAUCCUUGGCAGCGUUUUUUUGUUUCCACAGAACCACAGGUUCAAGACAUUUUUUGCUGAUCAUUGCCAUUCUCCAUGCAAAAAUUUAAUACUGUUUUUACUGGUCGUCAGGGUCAACCACACAGCUGAUGAUGCCUUACUGCUUCAAGCCCGACUAUGUAAACUGCAGCGUUGUCAUUGACAAGGACGCACGGUCCAUGAGAAAGUGCUCACGUAUUCCAGCUACAAAGGAACCUACACUGUGAAAUUCCUUGUAGGAAUAACGUCAAUAAGGCAUCAUAAGGUAUGUGUCAAGGCCUUAUGGUGGCUGUGCCACCGACUCUCUCAUCACAUCUGACUGUGGCAUAUUGCACAUGCUUGAGCCAGGGGACCUUGUGCUCGCUGACAAGGGCUUUCCUCAAAUCAGGAGGGCUCUUGUGGAGCGAGGAGUUAAAUUUCAGAUGCCAAUCUUUACACGACCAAAUCUGCCUUUCACGCGUGAGGAGGUUCUGAGCACAUAAGGUAUUGUGCAAGAAUACAUGUUGAGCGAUGCAUACAGCGUAUGAAGCUUUUCGGGAUAUUGUCAGAAAGGCAUUCUGCUGAUCUACUUCAUUAGCAAAAUCAUUGACGUGUGCAGUGCUGGCACAUUUGCAGGCUCCAAUUAUGAAAGACAAAGAUUAGUGGGCAUGCAACAAAAUUAUAGUGUCACUUCUCUAAUGGUGCCUUAGCCCAUAUUCGCAAAAUCUUUCUUUACUCAACGCUACAUCUUGUCCCCGCAGAGGAUGAGAAACACUCUACUGCCCCUCACGGUUCCCUAAAUUUCAGAGUUCCAAUAAUCCAGAGGAACGGUGGUUAACCGAGGGGCCCGAUUUUUAUUAGUGACACCAUAAGAAGCCAACAAACACUGACACCAAGGGCAACAUAGGGGAAAUUACUUGUGCUUAAUAAAUGAAAUAAAGAAACGAUUAAUUAAUGAAAAUUAAAAUGGAUGAAUAAACAACUUGCCACAGGUAGGAACUGAACCCACAACCUUCGCAAAAAGUAUUUUAUAUGCUAGGAGGCAUUUCAAUUUAAGAGUGAAUUGUGAGUAAUGGUCUUAAUUGGAUGUCAUACCUAUUUAGACGGGCUUUAGCCUGAUGUGUAUACCUCUGCGAAAACUAAGCUGUACUGAAUAGUUGCAUGUUUGUCACUAGGGCAUCAAGCUGCAAGCUAUAAUAAGCUUCUUUAUCCUAAUUGUUCACUGCUUGUGGGACAUGUGCAGAGAAUGUGGUCCCCAAAUUGAAGUGAUGCAUUAUGUAGCGUAUGCACAUGAGACUAGUUUGUAGCAUUUGUGUUCGAGCCUGCUUAGCUAUCCAUCUUGUGAAUUCGUAAGUUGUUUCACAACUUGUUUUGCUCACUGUGAGUUGGAAUUGUUUUUCGCAGUACUUCUGUAACAGAUUUUAUUGACUUUGCAAAUGUUUGUGAAGACCAUUUGGAAUUUAUGCAGCUGUGCAACAACACUGAACUUCCUUUGUUUCAUCUUCUCGUUAUGCUGCCUUGUUCUUGGUAGUGCACGUAAAUGUGCAUGCAUUUAUACAACUUUGAAAUUUGUGACAAUGCAACACAUAUUAUGAUGUUUGCAUCAAUGUAAAAGUUGACCAACUAGUAAUGUGACAAAGUAUGAUGUGAUGUGCAGCAAGUGAAAAAGAGAAAACAUUUGUUUUGAUCUGAAGGGUGUGUAACCAUUUUUGAUGAAGCUGUGCCCAUUUCUGUAGUAGUAGUUUCUAAUUUUUCCGGCUUUAGUGGUUACUCACUCAUCCUUAAAUGCCAGCAACACAAGCAUGGACUCACUAAUGUCUAGGAUGCUCGCUUGUAGAAGAUGGCCUUCAAUUUCUUGUUCCUUGUAUUCACAGUGUGCUUUUCGCAGCUUGUUUCUCAAGAAAAGGCUCUUGUGCCACUAGAAAGCUUUGUUGGCCUUUAUUUUCAGGUCCGUUUUAGCUGAAUGUCCUCGUGAUCCACAUUGUCACUUACUAUUCCCAAACAGUUCUUAAGGGCUGCUGUGUAACAAGCAUCACCAUCGCCAGCCUAUUUAUGCCCACUGCAGGAUGAAAGCCUCUCCCAGAGAUCUCAGUUCACUCCAGCUUUGCACCAGCUCAUUACAUCUUAGGCCUGCAAAUUUCCCAAUUUUAUUACACCACCUAAUUCUCUGCCCUACUCGACUGCACUUCCCUUCUGUUGGCACCCAUUCUUCGACUCUAACAGACUAUUGGUUACCCGCCUUAUGCAUUACGUGUCCUGCCCAGCUCCCUUUCGUUCCUCUUAAUACCAACUAGACUCGGCUACCCUCGGUUGCUCUCGAAUAUGCACAUCAGCUUUUUUGUCUCAUUAACAUUACGCCUAUGGGUAAUGUUCCACUACCAUUUAGUUUCUAUAUGGUAAUGAAACUAUAGAACAUAUACAGUUCUAUAGUUUCUGUACCAGUAGAAUGCAGUAAUUGACAAUUGACAAGAACUUAAUUGAAGUGGCCUGAGAAACAUGACUUCGGCUCCCCAAUCAAGUUGGUGGUUCCGCCCACAACGGGACCAGGAGUUGGUGACUCUCUGUGAUGUCGCAGGCCCUCUGGACGGACUGUAGUUGAUGUGUGAAUUCCGAGCUCUUCAGCAAGAUGUCCCACUUGGACUUCUAUAUAAGUUUGGAGCCCACAUUAUACAGGCAUAGCCAGAGCAUGUGGUGGAAGGAGCAGCAUGCAUGACCACAUUUGAAGCACGACUGCAGGAAGUUGGGGCCUAUCCAACUCAGUGCUCUGGGGGUGAGGUACGAUCUCAUCUGUAAGAGCCUGAAAGUAACGGCAUGAGCCCUAUUCAGUUUCGGUGAUUGUGCACUUUUCGAUUGAAGGGCAGUGGUAAACUGCUAAGUGCUGAUUUGGUAAUGCCUGCCAUAUGUGCCGCGACCUCUUUUUUCUUUUUCUGCAGGUAAGGUAUUAAUUGUGUUCUUACCUUACUUUUUUCCUCACCCUACAAUAUUAAUUUUGUAAAUUUCAAUUUUCGAAUUGGUAAUUCCCUUGUCCUUAUCCAUUUCUUUAUAACCACCCAAUUCAUGGCAGCCAGUCUCCCACUGUGGGUAUGGGUCGCAACACUCAGGUGAACAGCAGGAACAACAAUCCGUAGACAGGAUUUUCAAAAUGACUUACCGAGGCUAACAGACGAACAUGCUCUGAUGCUGGAACUUCGAGACAGGGUGCAAACAUAUCGUGCACCCCAUUUCAAACACCAUACAGCUGACACAGGUCAUUUUCUGGCCGUUGUCCUGCUAAAUGGAAGAACCACAAAAUAUAUAUAUAUAUAUUUUUUAUAUAUAUAUUUUGUGUGAAUUUUUUUCAAAUUCAAUAUCAGUUUAUUCAAACGACUAAUAAGAAGUACAAGUGAAUCAUCUGGGCCCCUAGCCUUCUCGGCUAGACUUGGGCCCAUGCAGGAAGUGCGAAAAAAUAAUUGCUGUAAAUACUUGCUUAAAAUGAGCUUCAAAAUCUUUCGCACCUCUUUUGACUGAAGCUUCUCGUCUUCUAGUUGAUGCAUUAGUGCUUGAAAAGCACCACAUCGCUUUGCCAGCCUCUGAGCUCUUUUAGAUGCUCAACUUAUGCUUCUAACUUUGUUCUCCCUUGACUCGGUUCUUUUGCAGGUGACAGGACUUACACUCAACAUUUAUCUGCAAGGUCUCUGGUGGUUCCUGCGCCUUGCGUAUAGAAGGCUCUCACUUGUUUUUUGCAGUAAAGACAGGCAAGAAGAACAAAACAGUGAAUGAAACACUUCAGUUAAUGUAGUGCUUAUCAACAGUUAACAAUGCAUUGACUUCACAAUACAUAAUCAACACUUUGAUUCAGUACUAUCUUUUAAACUUACUUUUGUGCUCUGUGUUUAUUUUGAAUAGGUUGCACCAAGGAAAGUGCUAUAGUCUAUGUUCUGCAGGUUUGCUGUAAAUACUGGAAGCACAAUUAAAAUACACCUAGUUCAUCACCCAAGCGCAUCUAGCCAAUCCAGUCGAAGCAUUUCAAAUCGAAGUGGAUGGAACAAACAAAACCCAGUCAUCUUGGCCAAUCAGCAUGCAUCCAUGCUUCAUGCAGAAUGGUAUCCUUCAAAAACUGAUGGAUAUCGCAAUGUUUACUUGGAGGUAAUUUGAUUUCUACAACCUUAACAUGUAAAGGUGUUCAUAAUUAUUGUGUCAUUCAUUUUUACGUUCGAAGUAUACAACCCAUAUAUUACUGCCCAAGUUGAAGGCAGCAAACCUGAGAAUUCAAGCAUGCAUGUAUUCACAGUAUUUUUAUUGCAGAUAUACGAGAGCAAAUAAAUGCACUUGGUGUGCUUGA